This 117-nucleotide small nucleolar RNA is filed under the name Beta vulgaris subsp. vulgaris (sugar beet). Its description in RNAcentral is "Plant small nucleolar RNA R71". It matches the Rfam family "Plant small nucleolar RNA R71". From Rfam's summary of the family: R71 is a member of the C/D box family of snoRNAs containing the C (UGAUGA) and D (CUGA) box motifs. Multiple nearly identical copies of this snoRNA have been identified in Arabidopsis, and it is thought to function as a 2'-O-ribose methylation guide for 18S ribosomal RNA. Lineage: Eukaryota; Viridiplantae; Streptophyta; Magnoliopsida; Caryophyllales; Amaranthaceae. The record is from Rfam by way of RNAcentral.
AAACCAUAAUGAGGACAAAGACGCUACAAAUCCUUGAACCUCUCCCAAGCUUCAUACAAGGGCUUACCAAGAUCUAAUUGGGUGAAACUCACUAUGGCAUGACGCAUAUCUCAGUCU